RNAcentral lists this long non-coding RNA (9765 nucleotides) under Marmota monax (woodchuck). Lineage: Eukaryota; Metazoa; Chordata; Mammalia; Rodentia; Sciuridae. The record is from RNAcentral.
AGGUGGCGGCGGCGCCAUCUUGGCGAAGGGGGGAUCAGGAAGUGCGGACCGCGGCGGCGGCGGCGGCGGAGCCCGGAGCGGAGGCCGGAGGCUCCCGGCCCGCCGGCCCCGGAGCGGAGCGGAGCGGAGCGGAGGAUGCAGCAGCCGCAGCCGCAGGGGCAGCAGCAGCCGGGGCCGGGGCAGCAGCUGGGGGGCCAGGGGGCGGCGCCGGGGGCCGGGGGCGGCCCAGGGGGGGGCCCGGGGCCGGGGCCCUGCCUGAGGCGGGAGCUGAAGCUGCUAGAGUCCAUCUUCCACCGCGGCCACGAGCGCUUCCGCAUUGCCAGCGCCUGCCUGGACGAGCUGAGCUGCGAGUUCCUGCUGGCUGGGGCCGGAGGGGCCGGGGCCGGGGCGGGGGCCGCGCCCGGACCGCAUCUGCCCCCACGGGGGUCGGUGCCCGGGGAUCCCGUCCGCAUCCACUGCAACAUCACGGUGAGGACCCUCUCGCGUGCGCCUCUCGGGGGCCCCUGGUCAGGACUCAGGAUCACCCCACACAGCUUUUUGCUCUCGAAGGACCUGGGAGGCCGAAGCCCCUUCUCGAGUCUCUGUCCUCUCUAGUUUACACUUGUUUCUGCAGCUUGAGGUUCUUCUAGGCACUCAGACCUCUACUAAUGAUUCCUGAUAGCAAGGGACACCUCGACAUAUGGCGCCUGGACUCCCCCUUCCACGAACCCACCCACAUCCCAAGGUUCAAGAUUUGGGCUCUUUUUGGCUACUCCUCUACAACUUUACCUUUCACCUGGGAAUGCCCCUUCCCCCCUCCCCAUUCUAAUUACUAGGUUCCAGGCCUCUGCACUGACCCCAGCUGGAAAGACCUCGCUUGGAACUCUGCACAUGUCAGUGAUGACCCCUCUCAGUAGUUCCUUUGACUCAGAUGUUUGCCACCUGUGGGAUCCCUGUCCAGUCAUCCCUCUUGCAGACCCUCUUUGCUUUCUGAAUUUCACCAAGUGAUAGUUUGCAGUACAUUGAUUCCUCUUCCUUUACUCCUUUGAAUACCCUUUUAUUUUGGUGUAACCUCUAACACUCCCCUUUUGCCUCAGCUGGUAGCAGAUCUUCCACUCUCCCUGUUCCCUGUGGAUAUGUCCAUUUGCCUUAGGUCGGUUCCUUUCUUGGUAGUGACAGUAUUGUGAUGUGCAUAAGGUACCCCAUUUAUUCUGAGCACACUGUUCUGUUCUCCCCAGUGGGCAUUGUUUCAUUCUAAGUAUACUAGGCUGGGAGACGCCUUGCAUGUGUCCUGCCUUAUUCUGCCCUCAAACAUUCCUUGAGGAGGUUAGCUUUCUGAUAACUUGUAAUGUGUGGUCCCACCUGGGGUAGCACUUCCACUGGUUGGAAUUCCCUGUUGUGGUCUUCCCCCUGCUGAAGCAGUAGCUGGGGAGCUGGUGGACAGUGCUGUAUCCAGGCAGGCAGUCUGAAUAGGAGUAGCCUGGGGAAAGACAGACUUGCGAAUUCUGUGGUGCUUGGGCGCCUGAAUCCAGUUGACACGGUGUUUUCUUUCCUUUUUCUCAGUCAAACCAGGUCAAGGUUUGGUGAGGUAAGCCUCAGCUUGGGUUGGAUGGUGCCCCACCAAAACUCAUGUGUCCUAUUUCUCUCUUUUCCCAUCCUCCCCCCAAAAGUUAGCAUUGAAAGACCAGAAGUGGCUUAGUCAGGUGAAGACUUGAGUGUCUUUGGUGUAUAUUUUCCCCUCCAGCACUGAGGGCUAGAGCUGUGGCAGAGCUAAGCUCCCAGGAGUGGGUAAGGUUUCCUGGGCAGGCGGAAGCCUCCAGGUUUAAUUUUGUUGUGAAGUUAAGAUUCUGGCUCCUUAAGGGUAGGUUUGGCCCCAUCUACCUACCCUUUUACUCGCUAGAGGCCAUCUCCUAUCUUUGUCCUUGGUUGGGAGUUAAUUUAGGGGUUCCUCAGCUAGACUCCCUGUGGCCCCAUAAAGGAGACUUGGCCUGAACUAGCCCUUUUGGUUUGGGUAGAGGGGAGUCUGGUCAGGCGUUUGGCAACGUGGCUCAGGAAUGCUGGGAAUGUCAGCAGCGUAGGCCUCUUUCUCCCAUCCUGCCAUGUGGAGUCCCACAGCCCACGCCUGGACAGAGAAGGUGGCAGGUUCCCAAGGGAGAGGUGGGGAGAACUGGUCUUUGAGGAGUUCUCUUGGGAAUGGGGUGGGGAGAUUCUUGCUGAUAUUCUUUCAGCUUCUGAAUAUAUAGUUUUAUUUUUGUCCCUCCCUCCCUAGUGAGCUGUAGUCUUUGCAUUUUUCACAGCAGUGUGAUUGUGAUGAGGUUGAUCUUUCCUCCCUUUGCUGGAGUUUGGAAAGCAGAAGGAUUUGGGAGGACUCUGACUUGGGUGUGGGAGAACUCCAAGUCUGGAACUUGGAGGGGCAGGACAGAAGAUCAGGAGUCCCUCACUGUUAGCAGUGUGGCUGUCCUGCUUUCUCUGGUUUUUGCUGUGGCGGAAAGAAAAAGUUCCAGGUUGCUUCUUUGAAAAGUCUUCUGAGGGACUGUUUUCUCCCAGUCUUGGCUUUGUUGGGAAGCUGCUUGGUUAGAUACUGAUCUGCUGAGUGGCUUUUAUUACUGUGUAGGGCUUGAGGUGGGCAAGCAAAGGGACCAGAAAUCUUGGGGGUCAGAGUGCAGGCAAAGUCUGGCACCUCCCAGAGUUGCCCAUUGUGACUGCUCUUCCUACUCUUUCCCCUUAGGAGUCAUACCCUGCUGUGCCCCCCAUCUGGUCGGUGGAAUCUGAUGACCCUAACUUGGCUGCUGUCUUGGAGAGGCUGGUGGACAUAAAGAAAGGGAAUACUCUGGUGAGGGGGCCAGGGGGUAGGAGCACACAUGUGUCUGUGAGGCCUGUGUCAUAAAGUCCCGGGCGAAAGGGCGCUGUAUAUGAAAAGUGGCCGAACAUGGUGGGGCAGACUUCCUAGGGGAGUUGUCUGAAGCCAGAGGUGAAUCCCAGUAGAGGCCAUCCUCUGCAGGAUUGGUGGACCAGGAACCAUUCCCACAGCCUGUGGUCCAUCGGGUUUAGAGAACUAGGUGCCGGUUUGGGAUGUGAGCUACAAGUUUAUCAGUGCAGCUGUCCAUAUUAGAGUGGGAAAGAAGUGUUUGAUAUCUCUGUGGUCCCCAACCCAGCUCUUGCAGCAUCUGAAGAGGAUCAUCUCCGACCUGUGUAAACUCUACAACCUCCCUCAGCAUCCUGAUGUGGAGAUGCUGGAUCAGCCCUUGCCAGCAGAGCAGGUGAGCAGCUAAAGGGCUUUAGGCUGUUGUACAGAGUUGUGCCACAGAGAGCACUCAACAAGUACGCGGUAACUGAGACAGAUCUGCAGUAGCCUCUCCCCACCCCCACCCACCCCCAAAUACACACACAUGUGACUUUCAGCCUCUUUUUUCUCUAGAUGGGAGUCUAGCUGAGUGGAACACUAGUAGCUUCAUCUCUCCUAUCGAACCCCCCUCUCCGGCAUCUGUUGCCAUCCCGGAGGUUGAGAAGGAGUGGAACUUUUACCAUUAUCUUAGAAGUAGCAGUUGGUGGCCACUGGGGACCCAGGCCCUUUCUUUCGAGCCAAGAAUACAGUAUCAGUCUAGAAAAGAUCAAGUAAAAGAGGGGUUCUUAGGAAAAUUAAGUGGGGUUUGCAAGGUGGGUGACAAGAAGAGCCAUUUUUCUUUUUUUAUUCCUUGGCAUAUGGUAGGAAGAAAAUGAUGGGCUGAUAGGGAAGUCAUCCCGGCUCUUGCUUCCACUGACUCUGGCUGUUGGAGAAACGGGGCGAGUGUAUAGCUUCCAGACCAGGAGGCUUAGGGGAGUAGGUCAGAGGCUGCACUCCACAGUCACUGGGGCUCUGAUCUCAUCUCCCUCCCCUCCCCACUGCAGUGCACACAGGAAGAAGUAUCUUCAGAAGAUGAAGACGAGGAGAUGCCUGAGGUAGGCUUGCAACCUGAGGUGGUGUUGGCAGGAAGCUGUUGCCGUCAGCGGCACUCAUCACCCACCAUAAACAGAGCUCCAGUCUAGAACUAGGGAGAGAGAAACAAUGUACUGAUCAGGAGGAAUGACCAGUGUAGUAGAGGAAACAGGCACCAUAUCCCCCCUCUGAAGGCAAUCAGGUGCAAAUAAAUACUCAAGUUAAUUUCAGAUGGCGUUGGAGGCUGACAGACUGAGUUUGCAUCCUGGCUAUCCUAACUAGGGAGGUACACCUAAUCUCACCAAGCUAGAUGGGAUUAUAAUACAUGCUGCAUAUGGUUGUCUUAAGAUUAAGUAAAAUAUUGUAUAUAAAGUAUUUUGUGAGUACUAAGUAACUUACGUAAUAUAUUCUUUAAAAACAUAGAUGCUUUUGCAGAAUACAGAGUAACGAUUAAGAAUUUGAGUUUCAGAUCUAGAUAGAACUUGAUCUAAUGUUUAGCUCUGCCAAGAGUUCUAUGACUUUGGGCAUGAGAAUUAAUAUCUUACUAGACUUAAGCUUCCUCAUUUGUAAAAUGGAGACAGCGAUUGAAUAACGUUUAAUAAUGGUUGUGAGGAUGAAAUGAUCUGGUGUGUAAUAAACAUUAAGUAGAUGUUAGCUGGUACUGUAAUAAUCAGGAGGUUAGUAUGUUCUGCCAGGUAAGACACUGAUCACUUUGUUUCAGAGCAUUGGAUUAAUGUCCCAAGUUCUAUAAGUCUGUAAAGGUCUUAAGACUGACAGACAGCUGGUGACACAUGAAAUUUACUCUUCCCAGACGGUGGACAGCCCUGUGUACCACACCCUGAACACCUGACUGAAAGGCUAACUCCUGGCGUCCUCCCCCUGUGAAUAGUGAACUACUUGUUCACUUAGAAUAGGUUGAAUAAAGAGCUAAUUCUGUUCUUAACUUCGGCUGCCUUCCUCUCUGGACCCCCUUUCUCAUUUCCAUCUUGUUAGUAGGUGCCUCUGCAAACCUGACUCAAGCCCUACAUUUGUAGGGAGAGGAGGAGAUGAAAUCCCAGAUUCUCCUCUGGACCUGAGGCCCUGAGGAUCCUGGGUACAUCAGUUCACCUGAUGAAACAUGAGCUUUCAGUGACAGUGUCGGGCCAAAGUCAUUCUGAUAGGAAUUGGGAAAGAGAAGGGGGGUUUUAGGGGCAGGUCAAGCAGGGUUGUCCUGGGGAGCAAAAGGCCAAGUCUUCGUAGGUCCUUACCUUAGCUCUGUGGCUGUAGAACUGGAGAAGAGAAGUGCCUGUCCUUCACAGGGUGGAGGGAUAGGGUUGGGAAGUGUUCUGGAAGCGAGGGGGGGUGUUGAGUGGUGGGACUGCUAGAUGACUGCUUCUCCUGGAGCUCCAGGCCAGGUGGGACUAGGAAGGUGACGGUCCUCAUUCACAGCCUUCUCCCUUUCCCCUCUGUUCCCCUCCCUCCCGCUCUGCCCAGGACACGGAAGACCUAGAUCACUAUGAAAUGAAAGAGGAAGAGCCAGCUGAGGGCAAGAAAUCCGAAGACGAUGGCAUCGGAAAAGAAAACCUGGCCAUCCUAGAGAAGAUCAAAAAGAACCAGAGGCAAGAUUACUUAAAUGUACGUGCCUCGUAGGGAGUGGCGGGGCACGAGGGAGGUGGGCACUACCUGGGGAGUGGUAGGCCGCAGCUCACAGCAUAGGGAGCUGCUCGCAUCUAAUCGUCCUCCAGACCCUGGGCAAGCAGUGGAGGUGUAACGUGUGUUUCCAGACUGGGACCAGAGAAUGUUCUGUUGUUUCUCCCUCACAGGGUGCAGUGUCUGGCUCGGUGCAGGCCACUGACCGGCUGAUGAAGGAGCUCAGGGAUAUAUACCGAUCACAGAGUUUCAAAGGCGGUGAGUUAGCUCCAGAGAGGGGCUUGCACGGGAGUUUCUCCUCGGGGUGGAUAUGGGAUAUGAUAUGAUAUGGUGCAGAAAGCCCCAGGGUUCGGGGUACAUGAGUAUUGACAAACUUGCGGUCAGGAACGGAGCACCUUAAAGCCAGUGGCUUGGCUUGGGUGUGCAUUCAUCUAGAGCAGACCUGGACCUUUGAUCUUUUUCCCUCGGUUUGUGAGAGGGAGCAGUCUGAGGGACCCCUCCCCGUCUGUACUGUCCUACUGACACUUCCCUUCCCCUUUUCUAGGAAACUAUGCAGUUGAACUCGUGAAUGACAGUCUAUACGAUUGGAAUGUCAAACUCCUCAAGUGAGUGGGGACUGGGGAGUCGGGAGCGGGGUGGGUGGAACACCUGGUGAUGUCUGGGCAGUCUCACUAGCAUGUUGGUUGCAGGGUCCCCAGAAGUGGGUGUGGGCAGUGGUAUGUGUAUCUGGGGCCGGCCGGGGCGCAGGGGAGGAGGGGGUUGGUGGGGAGCCCUUGUGAGGCUCUGCACUGGGACAAGGGUUUGAGCCCAGACUUGUUUCACAGAGUUGACCAGGACAGCGCUUUGCACAAUGAUCUCCAAAUCCUCAAAGAGAAGGAAGGAGCUGAUUUCAUCCUACUUAAUUUCUCCUUUAAGGUAAGCCUUCCCCCAGCUCUCCCUCCCUGGCCUGAGUUCCCUGUCUGCCUAAGUCUUGUGAGGAUGCCGGUCUCCUUCCCUGAAUGCUGCCUCUGUCUUUCUCAGGAUAACUUUCCCUUUGACCCACCGUUCGUCAGGGUUGUGUCUCCAGUCCUCUCUGGAGGGUGAGUGGCUGGGUCAGGGAGAGGGUGAAGCAGGGACUGGAAGCUCUUGCCAGGCCUGACUGACCGACCUUUCUCAUGCAGGUAUGUUCUGGGCGGAGGUGCCAUCUGCAUGGAACUUCUCACCAAGCAGGUGAGGCCCUUUCACUGUUGGCCCAAGAGCCUGGGUGGGGCCCGACAGCUGAGCUUCCUCCCCAUCCCAGCCUGGGCACAGGCGUCUGUGGCCCUGUUACCCUGCCACGUAGUGGCUGUCCUGGGAGGGAAGGGCACGGGCACUUCCAUAGAGAGGCACUGCCGCCUGGAGAAGAAGUGGAAGGUGUCUCCAGGAGCCCUGUCCUGACUCGCUCGCUUUGUCCCUGCUGUCCCCAGGGCUGGAGCAGUGCCUACUCCAUAGAGUCAGUGAUCAUGCAGAUCAGUGCCACACUGGUGAAGGGGAAAGCGCGAGUGCAGUUUGGAGCCAACAAAGUAAGGGGCCUGGCCUGGCGGGCUGGCUGGAGCCGAGUGCGUCGUGGCCCAGGCUGAGGGCAAAGGGGACACAGUCCCUGGGCUGCGAUGUUGGAGGAGAGGGCCUGGGGUGGCCACAGUGGGAACAGAGCAGGGCCUUAGCUGAGGGGUGUCCUCAGGGUUUGGGGGUUCAGGUCAGGAAAGGGAAGGCUGUGGGAUUGUGUCCCCAAGGGACCUCUCAGACAGAGGUCCUUAGCGUGCUACCAGGGUACCGCGCUGGCAGCCGGGCUUCCUGGGUCUCUGGGUGGCCGCCUGUGGAAGGGGAGGGGCAGUGAGCCACAGCUGGCGUGGCCUGACCGGUGGCUUCUCCCCCCAGUCUCAGUACAGUCUGACGAGAGCACAGCAGUCCUACAAGUCCUUGGUGCAGAUCCACGAAAAGAACGGUGAGGCCGGAGCCGGGCCCGGGGCUCUGGUGCUGGGCAACCCCAGGUUCUCACUCGGCCCGUAGCAAGGUCCCUCUGGGUUUCCGAGCCGUUCACCCACUCACCCACACCUGCCGGCUCUCCAGAGAAGGCCUGGAGGUGGUGUCGUGGGCAGUCUUGGUGCUGCCCUCUUCCUGACCACCCUUUGAAAGACUCUUCACCACCUCGGGUUGGGCUCUUCACUCUCCCUGUCCUUACAACCUCCAGGUAGGCAGCCUCCGCUUCCCUGUACCUCUCUUCUCGCACCUGGCAGCCUCCCUAGGACCUUCUUGCCUGGAGACGCUGCAGAUGUCCACGGUGACUGGGACAGGGAGGGCGCUCUGGGCCUGGACCUCGCUGACCUGGUGUGUUUCUUUGCAGGCUGGUACACACCCCCAAAGGAAGACGGCUAACCCUGGAGCGUCGCCCCUCCUCCUCCCCCAGGCACCACUGGACCAAUACCUUUGAAUGCUGUAUCUGGAUCUCACGCUGCCUCUGUGGUUCCCUCCCUCAUUUUUCCUGGACGUGAUAGCUCUGCCUAUUGCAGGACAAUGAUGGCUAUUCUAAACGCUAAGGAAAAAAAACAAAAAAACAAACAGAACUGUUUCAAGUACUCAAGACUGACUACAGACCAACAACCACCUUGCUGGAACCCUUGCUAGCAGGCAUUCUUAUAAAGAAACUCUCGAGCCUCCUUAUAUUGCUGGAAACUCAGCUGUGCUCCAGACUAGAGCCUCCUUACCUAUGCUAUGGAUUUUUAAUUUAUUUUCUCUUAUUUCAUGUACACUGCUUUUUUUGGUUACAGUGUAUGAUGGAUGUGUAUGAAAAAAAAAUGUAUCUUUGGGAAAACAAUUACAGUUUGUUAAUUUGAAGAUGCUGGUCUUGACUCAUCUUUAUUUUUAUUCCCACAUCCCACCCCACCCCCAUCCCCUGACUGCUUGGGAGGUGGGGGAGGGGUGCCAGGUCCACUGUGCUUUGGUAGCCAUGAGGCUGUGCUCCGCUAACCCAAGAAAUCUGGAGCUAAGCACCACCUGGCCCACCCCUAGGUUUCCCAAAGGCCCCUGCUGACUUACAGUGUAGCAGGCUGGUAUGAUGAACUUGAUUCUUAGGACUGCGUUUCACUUCUAGUUUCAGAGACUUUUCAAAUUUCUAAGAAAUAGAAAAUGUGGAGGCUCAAGAGGCUGCUUCAUAGAAAUCCUUUUAUGAGAACUGAGUGGGGCUGGGGCGCAGGCUCCUGCGUGUGUACGUGGUCUUUUCUAAUCACAGCCAUCCGCUGUCUAGCUACAACUCUGCAGUGUGCUUUGGCUCCUCUCCCUCCCAGAAAGUGGCUUCUGACUGGCCCUGGAUUGUGAUCAGUGGUAAGCUCUGCUCACCUUCCUCCUGUCUCCUGCUUCAUUUGGGGGUGUAGAAGAGAAAUGGCUCUUGAAGUAAGUUUGGCUGACUUGGAGAAUUGUGGACCCCUUCAAGUCAUUCUUGUAAGAUGCUGGUCCUACUAGAAACGGUUAGCUCUGAGGUGGGUUGUUGCAUGACCUGUGUCCUUACCCCAGGCGUGAGGAACUGCUGGGCCAGGAGGAAAGUGGGAGGAGUCUGUGGGGCUGGAGCAGGUGGUGCUGUGUUGUAUGUACUGCUGUUGUAAAAGUUUGGACAUGACUUUGCAUAUGGCGGGUGCUGCCUGUGUCUCCCUGUCAGGAAGCUUGCUUUGGGGCAGAGGCAGCUUUUGGGGGCUGACUGUGCCCACAGAGUGGGUAAAGAUUGAAAACAACAGAGGCCAGAAACAGCUAAGACAGACCCAAGUCUUAGGAAACCCAGAUCUGGGACGGCUGCCUGGGAACCUGUAGGAGGCCCGAGGAGCCCUGUGAUGCUUUAAGACACAGCAAUUUUAACUUGGCCAUUCUCCCCUCCCCCACCCCAUCCCGAGGGAUUCUAAUGUCUUGCUGCUUUAGGUGGAUGGAGAGUUCACCAAUCCCAUUCAAUGCUGCUCCAACUCUGCCCACACCCACCUGAUUAGGGGUGCUAAUACAUGCCGAGGUUGAGAUAAAGAGGGGACCUAAGGGGAAAAUUCAUUCCAUAGAGCUGAAAUCUGGUUUUCAAGGCCUCCGUGGCUUUCUUCUGAAUUUAUUACCAGCCCUGGCUGGAAUGUAGAUUGUGUUUUUAGUAAUGUGUACUGUGAGCUGUCCUCUGUAUAAUGUAUUUUGUAAUGUAUUUUUCUCAUCUACCAAAGGAUGAAACAAAUAAAAUUAUUUAAAUAGUUUGGCUCUAA